Molecule: long non-coding RNA, 1758 nt
Organism: Scylla paramamosain (green mud crab)
Lineage: Eukaryota; Metazoa; Arthropoda; Malacostraca; Decapoda; Portunidae
Exons: 3
Source: RefSeq, a predicted model, not a curated record
AGAUGGCCGCGGUGUGUGCUGAAUGUGACUACAACUAUUAGAAAUUCAUCAAAAAAUUUGAUCUGGACGACAAAUACUGCAUUCCUCUUCGUAACAAGUCACGGUGUCCUCCCUUUACAAGUACAGUGCCCGCACCGUACAGUUCCCUGUACUUAUAGGAAGAACAGGCAUUCUUGGUAUUUUGGCAGGUGGACGAAAAUAUUUAUAGCCAAGGCAAAGAAAAGAUGGCAGUAUAAUUUAAUGAUUUCGGGCUACAAAGGAGCUUUUCUCGACAGAACUCACCUCAAACCGGAAAUAACAUGUUUUGUUAACUACCGGCUUUAAAAAAAUAGAAUCAUGACACUGUUUAUAAAUGUUUGAACUGGGCUCCCGGUAUCAGUGUUGACUGGAUAAGUUUUUGCUCUGAGGUGACCGAGUGGUGGUUUGACGAUCAGGAUUGUAUUGGUGGUGAAGGGAUUGAGGUAGAGAUCGAUGAGACCUUUACUUGUAAAGUGCAAAUACACUCGCGGUUGCAUGAUGACGCAAGUUCGGAUAUAGUACUGAGCGAGUCUUCAAAAAGUGCUUCAUUGUGUCUUUCGUUGACAAGGACAGGAAUGUACGCUGGUAUCCAUUAUCAAACAAUGAAUCCGGUCUGGGAGUGUAAUUUAUAGUGACUCAUGGUGUACGUAUAACAAACUGUGCGAUGAAGGGUACACCCACUACAUGAUUAAUCACAAAGAACACUGUGGAUACAAACAAUCUCAAUAUCCACACUCCGAACAAAGCGGCUGUGGUUGGACCUGGAACAGUGAACGAAGCGGCCAGGGUUGAGGAGCGAGUACUUCAAGCAGUACUUUGCUCGUUAUAUGUUCCUUCAUACAUUCAAGUUAGAACAACUUAAUUUUUUUCAUCGAAGCCGCCCGACCUUACCGCACAACUGGACAGACAGCGGCCAGCUAGCCGCUGCGUCAUCCCAAUCUCUACAGCAACAGCGCCAUAUCCACAACCACUAACCUCUCGCCCAUAAGGAAAGGAAAAGGAAUCUUGAUGAGAAAAAGAUCAGAGACAAGGAGAGAGAAGCUGAAAUGGUCCAGCGUGAGAUCUUGUCACUGGAGAAGCGCGUUGAUGGUUUCAGUGUGGAAACACUCACUGAGAAGAUGCAAUUCAACAGUGGAGGAUGUUACUUUCUGACAAAGGUGCCUACUGCCUUGAGACACAGAGACAGUAACCACCACCAUCACCACCACCAUUCAGCUACAUCACUCGUCUCGUCCAGGUUGUCAAAUUGAUGGUCUGGAGUUCCCCAGGGCCAGGGUAACUUUAUAAGGACAUCUAAUGCAGGGAUGUCAAAUUCUUAUUCUUCCAUUUGCUCAGUCUUGCAUGUUUUACUACUCUGUCUCACUUUUAUGCUCUCUUACAUCCCAUUCUAAGUCCUCUCCAUUUUGAACGAUCAUACUCCAGUCAGUCUUGGAUCUGUGGAUCUCCUGUUGCUCAUACAAAACAUAUGGUUCUGGAGAAAAGGGCAUGUCCUGGGGAAGGAAAAUCCAUCCCAGAUGCAUUCUGCCUCUUUGAAUUUACUCUUUUGUUGUGACUUUUAACAGUAUGUUAUUUAUUUAUUUAUUUAUUUUUCACUGAGUUAUUGACCAUUUUGCAAAUGAUAAAUAUGUUUUAUCCUCUAAUUCAGCUUUAUUGUUGAAAACAUGACAGACAGACUGAGUGUUAUCAGUAAUAUAGAUAAAAUUUUACCCUUAUUCAUAAGCACUAUACAUUAACAUGUAA